RNAcentral lists this ribosomal RNA (253 nucleotides) under uncultured bacterium. RNAcentral describes it as "partial 16S ribosomal RNA". It matches the Rfam family "Bacterial small subunit ribosomal RNA", at positions 524 to 776 of the family's 1533-position model. The record is from RNAcentral.
GACAGAGGGUGCAAACGUUGUUCGGAAUUACUGGGCGUAAAGCGCGUGUAGGCGGCUGCGCAAGUCGGAUGUGAAAUCCCAUGGCUCAACCGUGGAGGGUCAUUGGAAACUGGGGGACUUGAGUACAGAAGAGGAAAGCGGAAUUCCACGUGUAGCGGUGAAAUGCGCAGAUAUCGGGAAGAACACCCGUGGCGAAGGCGGCUCUCUGGGACGGUACUGACGCUGAGACGCGAAAGCGCGGGGAGCGAACAGG